AUACGGAGGGUGCAAGCGUUAUUCGGAAUCACUGGGCGUAAAGGACGCGUAGGCGGGUUGGCAAGUCAGAUGUGAAAUCCUACAGCUUAACUGUAGAACUGCAUUUAAAACUGCUAACCUAGAGUAUGGGAGGGGGAGAUGGAAUUAGUGGUGUAGGGGUAAAAUCCGUAGAUAUCACUAGGAAUACCGAAAGCGAAGGCGAUCUCCUGGAACAUAACUGACGCUAAGGCGUGAAAGCGUGGGGAGCAAACAGGAUUAGAUACCCUAGUAGUCC
This 274-nucleotide ribosomal RNA is filed under the name uncultured bacterium. RNAcentral's name for it is "partial 16S ribosomal RNA". It matches the Rfam family "Bacterial small subunit ribosomal RNA", at positions 523 to 796 of the family's 1533-position model. The record is from RNAcentral.